RNAcentral lists this ribosomal RNA (425 nucleotides) under uncultured cyanobacterium. RNAcentral's name for it is "bacterial SSU rRNA". It matches the Rfam family "Bacterial small subunit ribosomal RNA", at positions 356 to 795 of the family's 1533-position model. The record is from RNAcentral. Lineage: Bacteria; Bacillati; Cyanobacteriota.
GGGGAAUUUUCCGCAAUGGGCGAAAGCCUGACGGAGCAAUACCGCGUGAGGGAGGAAGGCUCUUGGGUUGUAAACCUCUUUUCUCAAGGAAGAAGUUCUGACGGUGCUUGAGGAAUCAGCAUCGGCUAACUCCGUGCCAGCAGCCGCGGUAAUACGGAGGAUGCAAGCGUUAUCCGGAAUGAUUGGGCGUAAAGCGUCCGCAGGUGGGUGGUGUGUGUCUAUUGUCAAAGCAUCAUGCUUAACAUGAUAAAGGCAGUAGAAACUACACGACUAGAGUGCGUUCGGGGCAGAGGGAAUUCCUGGUGUAGCGGUGAAAUGCGUAGAGAUCAGGAGGAACACCGGUGGCGAAAGCGCUCUGCUAGGCCGCAACUGACACUGAGGGACGAAAGCUAGGGGAGCGAAAGGGAUUAGAUACCCCUGUAGUC